GUCCACGCCCUAAACGAUGUCUACUAGUUGUCGGGUCUUAAUUGACUUGGUAACGCAGCUAACGCGUGAAGUAGACCGCCUGGGGAGUACGGUCGCAAGAUUAAAAACUCAAAAGGAAUUGACGGGGACCCGCACAAGCGGUGGAUGAUGUGGAUUAAUUCGAUGCAACGCGAAAAAACCUUACCUACCCUUGACAUGUGCAGAAUUUUGCUGAGAGGUGAAAAGUGCUCGAAAGAGAACUGCAACACAGGUGCUGCAUGGCUGUCGU
RNAcentral lists this ribosomal RNA (268 nucleotides) under uncultured bacterium. RNAcentral's name for it is "partial 16S ribosomal RNA". It matches the Rfam family "Bacterial small subunit ribosomal RNA", at positions 793 to 1055 of the family's 1533-position model. The record is from RNAcentral.